CUCCCCACACCUGACUGAGAGAGCUGACGGAUUACCUGUGGUCAUUUUCAACAGAGGCAACUUAAAUUUUCUAUUAAAAAUUUGAAUGGUACUCCCACAAUUCAAUAAUAACUGAAAACUUUGCCCCUCACUUUCACUUUCACAAAUUUUGUCUGGAAGGUGCAUAAGAAGGAAGGAAUAAAUGGCUAUCAUAUUAUUUACUGCUGUUGGACUCUCCAGCUUUUUAUAAGCUGAACCAUACUUGCAAGAUUCGAAUAUUUUCUUUAGAAAAUCAAAAUCGUUUAUCCAUUGGGGGAAAAAACACUUAUGAAGUCUUGAAUGAAGGCAAACAAUAUCACAGACUACUGAUGCAAAUCUGUUUUUAUUAAAAUUCUG
Long non-coding RNA from Sapajus apella (tufted capuchin), 375 nucleotides. RefSeq lists it as uncharacterized. The record is from RefSeq and is a predicted model, not a curated record. The transcript has 3 exons. NCBI's taxonomy places the organism in Eukaryota, Metazoa, Chordata, Mammalia, Primates, Cebidae.